Molecule: non-coding RNA, 72 nt
Organism: Parelaphostrongylus tenuis
Lineage: Eukaryota; Metazoa; Nematoda; Chromadorea; Rhabditida; Metastrongylidae
Source: the annotation of a GenBank genome assembly
GCGUCGGUAGUGCAACGGUUAGCAUACGCUCCCGGAAAGAGCGAGAUGUGGGUUGGAAUCCCGGCUAACACA